UUUUAUCUGUAUUUAAUUUAAUUUGAUUUUAUAAUUCAUGGUCAAGACUUUCAUUUUCUUUUUUAUAAAACUUAUUUUAUUACAAUUUGAUUCUAACGUAGGGCUUAGGGAUAACAUGGGGAAUGGGCUAGAGGAAAUUAAGGAGGAAGCAUCAUGGUCAAGACUAUAGAAUAGAGAAGUCACCUUACUAGCUUAUAAAGCUUCAUUCUUUUAGCUGUAGUUUUACAAAGUGUUUCUACUACUACUAGAACUGAUAAGAAAAAAGUUGACCUACCAAUUUAAAAAGCACUUCAUAGAAAAUUGACCAACGCUUUUAAGUUUCCCCUGGGAAGAAGCAAGAAUCUGGAACACACAAGGCAGCAAGAAUGCAUUUUCAACACCAAUAUUGAAA
Molecule: long non-coding RNA, 391 nt
Filed under: Panax ginseng (ginseng)
Lineage: Eukaryota; Viridiplantae; Streptophyta; Magnoliopsida; Apiales; Araliaceae
Description: long non-coding RNA (PGIN_LNC001777)
Source: RNAcentral